UCUAGAAGGAUCCCAAAGAUCAAUGGUACUAAAAGGCAUAUUCCACAAGUGAGAAUAUGCAGAGGAAACAACAUCAAAGAAGAAUCAGGGAAAUAGCCUGUUAGCAAAACAUUUCUACUUUCAAGAAAAUAUUUUUGUUUGUAAUCACUCUACUUUUCUUGCCUAAUUCAUUCAAAGAAGAAACAUUUCAGCCUUAGUGGCAUCACAAUGGACUAUCUUGGAAACAAGUGUGACACUCAGAAGAGGCAAAGAUUCUGGAACCCUUUCUCAGAGGUCUGCAGAAUGAGCAUUUUAAAAUCUGGCUUUGGGAGAAGAGUUGAUCCACAGAAAUCUCUCUCUUUUACAGAGCUGUCCACAGAAUGAAAGAGCUGGAGAAACACUGCUCUUCAACUUCCAACCAUUGGAUCUUGUUGUGCCUUGUCUGUUAGACAAAGAGCUCCAUCUUCUGCCUGAAAGCCACACUUAGAAGGCAGUGGUGCACAGAGGGAAGAGUUGAACCAGCUGAGAAGAAAGAAAACUAGCUUUCCGAGAGACUUGAAGAUUCAGUGAAUUGAAGGAAACAAAAAAACCAACUGAUUUGAUCUCUGUGGUGGAUCUUGGCCAGGCCAGAAGGAGACUGUGAGUGAGAGAAAUCAAAGACUGUAUCUUGCUAUGAAGAGUUCCACUGAAGCAUUUCUUGUGGAUCAAGACAAUAUAGUAGCUUCCUGAGUUGUUGUGCUAAAAAAUAACGAAAUGAAGUAACUCAGAAGAAAUGAGUCUUGAGGAGGGGUUUGAAAAAAGAGAAGGCAGAAUUAAAUUUCAUGUUGCCUAUGGAGAUUUGAUUUCGCCCUUCAAGGGAGUUGAAUUCCAAAUAUAGGACUUCGCAAAUUUUUCCAAUCACUUUGCUUAGUGCAACAAUUACAAGACAUUUAUAAUAAAACUGUCAAACACAGCUCAAUUCAAAGCAUAUCCAGGAUGCACUUAGUUUGGAGGAUGGAGAAAAGAAGAGGACAAUGCAUUAGCCCCAAACAGUUUGCUUACAAGAACAUCCUUCCAGUACUCUAUAUUACUAUGGGGUGGAAACAUGAGGUCAGAUUUGCAGCUGAUGUAAUUUGAUACUAUUCCAGAAAAUACACCCAUUUGCCCCAGCUGAGUAUCUGGGCAGUGGUAUCAAUUCUGAAUCUGAGACAUAAAUCAAUAAAUGUU
Molecule: long non-coding RNA, 1185 nt
Organism: Mauremys mutica (yellowpond turtle)
Lineage: Eukaryota; Metazoa; Chordata; Testudines; Geoemydidae
Exons: 9
Source: RefSeq, a predicted model, not a curated record